RNAcentral lists this unclassified non-coding RNA (345 nucleotides) under soil metagenome. Its description in RNAcentral is "partial contains 5.8S ribosomal RNA, internal transcribed spacer 2, and large subunit ribosomal RNA". The stretch from base 1 to 120 matches the Rfam family "5.8S ribosomal RNA", at positions 35 to 154 of the family's 154-position model. The record is from RNAcentral.
GAUGAAGAACGCAGCGAAAUGCGAUACGUAAUGUGAAUUGCAGAAUUCAGUGAAUAAUCGAGUCUUUGAACGCACAUUGCGCCCCCUGGUAUUCCGGGGGGCAUGCCUGUCCGAGCGUCAUUGCUGCCCUCAAGCACGGCUUGUGUGUUGGGCCUCCGUCCUCCUCCCGGGGGACGGGCCCGAAAGGCAGCGGCGGCACCGCGUCCGGUCCUCGAGCGUAUGGGGCUUCGUCACCCGCUCUUGUAGGCCCGGCCGGCGCUUGCCGACACAUCAAUCUUUUUUCCAGGUUGACCUCGGAUCAGGUAGGGAUACCCGCUGAACUUAAGCAUAUCAAUAAGCGGAGGA